AACUCAUCGGACCUGUCACGAAAUCCAGGAAUGUCAACAGCUGGUGUCUGACAGCGACCGAUCACUUUACCAAGUGGAUGGAGGCAAAACCCAUUAAGGACAAGACUGGCGAGGCCACCUCCAAGGCAUUGGUGGACAUCUUCAACACCCACGGUUCUCCUGAGGUAAUUUUGAGUGACCGAGGUCAUGAACGCUGGAACAAGGUUUGGUGAAUGGGACAACCAGACCCUCAAGAAUGCCAUGGGCAAGUCCCUUGAUUGGUACCAGGAAAGGUGGGAGAACAACCUGAAGGUAAUUCUCUUUGCACACAACAGCAGCAUCCAGGCCUCCACCGAGUACGGACGGGAGCCGCAGCUGUUGACUGAGGUAAACAAUGAAAUUGUAUAUACAAGUAUUGCAUAUACUGUAGUCUUUCAAAUUUGUGAUUGAUUUUGUGUUGUUGUUUGUCUAUUGCCGUUUAUGUAUAAUGUACUUUCAGAUCACUGAAACCCCACCUGAUGUGGUGGAAGUUGUCAAACCAGAUCAGAACUCCUUCGAGGACCACCUUCAGGCAUGGACUGAGAAGGAUGUGGAGGUUUUUGACCAGGUGAGACUGAACAUCGACAAGGCGCAGGAGAAGCAGAAGGAGAGCUACCGGAGCAGAAUCAAGAAGGUGACCAAGAGCUACAAUCUCCGGGUGAAUUACUUGGUUUGGAAGAAGGACGAAAGGAAGGCGAAGGAAGGACGAAAGGAAGUGCGUUCCUGGUGUAACUCGGACAGUUGUUGUUGCCAUCCUGUACCUGUCCCGCAGGUGAGCUGUUCAGAUGUACCAAACCUGUGCAGGUGUUGUUACACGUGGUCUGCUACUGCGAGGACAAUCAGCUGUCCGUCCUGUCUUAA
Molecule: long non-coding RNA, 879 nt
Organism: Salvelinus namaycush (lake trout)
Lineage: Eukaryota; Metazoa; Chordata; Actinopteri; Salmoniformes; Salmonidae
Exons: 4
Source: RefSeq, a predicted model, not a curated record